RNAcentral lists this transfer RNA (72 nucleotides) under Paraburkholderia domus. RNAcentral describes it as "Paraburkholderia sp. LMG 31832 tRNA-Ala". The record is from RNAcentral. Lineage: Bacteria; Pseudomonadati; Pseudomonadota; Betaproteobacteria; Burkholderiales; Burkholderiaceae.
GGCUGCCCUAAGCGGGCAGUCGAUGUCCUGGCGCGACAUCAAGACGCUAGGGCUCGCCUCCCUGGGCGGCGC